UUCCAUUCCAUUACAGAAACCUUUUAAGUGAAAUAGUCAAUGGUGUAAAUUACAUUUUCCGUAAGCCUAUUCAGGA
Molecule: transfer RNA, 76 nt
Filed under: Salmonella sp. FORC89
Lineage: Bacteria; Pseudomonadati; Pseudomonadota; Gammaproteobacteria; Enterobacterales; Enterobacteriaceae
Description: tRNA-Gly
Source: RNAcentral